Molecule: ribosomal RNA, 449 nt
Filed under: uncultured bacterium
Lineage: Bacteria
Description: partial 16S ribosomal RNA
Rfam family: Bacterial small subunit ribosomal RNA
Source: RNAcentral
AAAGAACGCUGGCGGCAUGCCUAACACAUGCAAGUCGAACGAAGGCUUCGGCCUUAGUGGCGCACGGGUGCGUAACGCGUGGGAAUCUGCCCUCAGGUUCGGAAUAACAGCGAGAAAUUUCUGCUAAUACCGGAUGAUAUCGCGAGAUCAAAGAUUUAUCGCCUGAGGAUGAGCCCGCGUAGGAUUAGCUAGUUGGUGUGGUAAAGGCGCACCAAGGCGACGAUCCUUAGCUGGUCUGAGAGGAUGAUCAGCCACACUGGGACUGCGACACGGCCCAGUCUCAUCCGGGAGUCAGCAGUGGGGACUAUGGGACAAUGGGCGCACGCCUGAUCCAGCAAUGCCGCGAGAGUGAUGAAGGCCUUAGGGUUGUAAAGCUAGUUUACCGGGGAUGUUAAUGGCGUUACCGAGAGAAUCAGCUCCGGCUCACUCCGUGCCAGCCGCCGCCGUAA